Drosophila mojavensis is the source of this 730-nucleotide long non-coding RNA. RefSeq lists it as uncharacterized. The transcript is spliced from 2 exons. The record is from RefSeq and is a predicted model, not a curated record. Lineage: Eukaryota; Metazoa; Arthropoda; Insecta; Diptera; Drosophilidae.
UCGAAUUUACUCCCUCUCCUAGCAACUGUCUUUAUUAUUAUAAGUUAACAGAUAAAAUACAAUUUACUUUCCGUUAGACUAGAUAAGAACUGACCUAUAUGAUUAUGUUUAAAGAUACUGCAUUUUUUUUAGGAUUUUUAAUUAACUUUUUCUGUCUUCUCUUUUUCACUACUGUCUACGUGAUUGUUAACUCGUUGCUAAAUGCAACGCCCCCUGAAACGUCAUAAUUCAAACAUCUUAUCUACUAAUCAUUAAAUUGUAUAACAAUUGGAAAGUAAAUAAUUUCUCGCGCACGAUAUUAAACUGUAAAACUCGGUAAAAAAAAAAAUAAUAAUAAUAAUAAAUACAGAAAAAGACAUAAGCACAACAAAAGCAACAAUCAAAUGGCAAGGACAAGGACAUUCCAUACGCAAUAGGGCAGGCCAUACUUGACAGGCGAUGAAUUAAGCAGACCAGAAAAUAACAAUUAUGAGCUUUUUCUUCGCCAGCUUGUGGAAAAAUCUAUAAAUUUAUAUUUUGUAAUUUCGAGUGCCCUUCCCCUUUGGGGAGAGAAAAACCGUUGCUCAACAGCAGCAAGUGGACAAAAAUACCAAUACACCCCCUUCCUUUUACGCACACAGUACUGUUGCCCCUUUUGCGGCAGCCGACAACACACAUAUUGCUUCUUACAUAAUGGCCUCUGCAAUACCUUUUGAUUGUUGCCGAGUGGUAUGGACACAAUACGGCCACC